This is a long non-coding RNA of Vidua chalybeata, 485 nucleotides long. RefSeq lists it as uncharacterized. The record is from RefSeq and is a predicted model, not a curated record. NCBI's taxonomy places the organism in Eukaryota, Metazoa, Chordata, Aves, Passeriformes, Viduidae. The transcript has 3 exons.
GAGAGGCCCUCCCUAGCUCUCCCCCCAUCCCAGCUCCCUGCUGGUCCUGGUGUUUAAAACAGUUUUCUUGCAGUGGAAAAUUCUGAGACCAUUUUUCUACUUGCAACAUCGGCAGACUUGUUUGCCUGUGGAAUCUUUCUGCUUGGUAAAAACAUCUUCUUUGAGGGCUCCAGCCUGCCUGGGCAGUCAGGGGCUGCCCCCCUCCCUGGAAUGGCACUGUACUUUCACCAGGAGAGGAGUGCACAUCUUGCUGGGAUUAGUGCUGAGAUUCAGGCAGCAUGAAAAGUUCAGGACUGAUGCCAAUAGCGAGGAGCAGCUGAGAACAGUCUGAUGCAACCAGAGUGAAGGGUGGUCUCCUGUUGUUGACGUCGGCGAACUCAAUGGGAAGAAUGAUGAUGUCUAACUUUAUUUUAGAAGGCUAAAUGAUUGCUUUAUUAUAAUUAUGUUAUAAUACAUUAAUAUGCUAUAUAAAAGAGGAUACUAAA